UCCACCCUAACACCCUAGACUAAGCAAGUGGAUUACUCAGCCAUGGACAGAGAAAACAUAGAGAUAACAGAUGAAGAAAACAUGCCUGAAUCAAUAACAAAAAGCAAAGAGGGUUUAGAAAUCUUCUCAAAAGGAUGUAGAGAUUCUUCUCCCUUAACAAGAGUACCAAUUUUCUCUCUCUAAAAUCUCUCUGAAAAAUAGCGUAGAAUGUCUAGAAUAAUAAGAAAAGAUAUAUAUGCAGGUCUGUGGCGGCCAAGGAGUAAAAGGGGGAAGCCCUAGGUAAAAUCCCGAAAUAUUUGGAAACUUCCUUAAAAAUCUCUGCCGCUGGAACAGGCACAUCAGACUGCUCCGCACGACUGCUCUGCGUGAAAAACUCCAAAUUGCAUUAUUUUUCUCUUCUUUUCCUCCAACUGGUUUAUCUCCCAUCCAAUGCAACUCCAGACCUGUAAUGACUCGAAAAGGACUAGGAAGACUCGAUAAAAACUUAAAAACCAAUUAGAAAACAUAUAUACAAGAUGCCAAAAACACCAUAUAUCAAGGAUAUUGGG
This 548-nucleotide long non-coding RNA is filed under the name Brassica napus (rape). RNAcentral describes it as "long non-coding RNA (BNAP_LNC014419)". Lineage: Eukaryota; Viridiplantae; Streptophyta; Magnoliopsida; Brassicales; Brassicaceae. The record is from RNAcentral.